AUCUUCCCUCUGUCUUGUUCCUAAGCGCACAGGGCUCCUCCGGCCCCGCCGAGCUGCGCCCGCUGCCUUCACACCCCGGACAUCCGCGCCACACGGGAGACCUGCGGAGACAGCCCCCGUGAGGCUCCCGUUCCCGCCCCCUCCCGCCCCAGGGACCCAGACCCCAGGAGGCCUCACCCCAGAGCAAGAGAAAGACCACCAACAUGGACAUGAUGGUCGCGCUCACUCCGGUGCAUGCUGGAUCCUGGAUCCUGUUCUAGAAGGAGACGCUGAGUUCUCCGCACUCUACCUGGAGCUGCUGAGGUCAAGUGGAGAGUGCCAGGGCUGCAGCCCAGCGAGCCCCUCCCUGUCACACCACACUGCACAUGUGACACCAAAGGCGGGGUUCACCUCUUUUCAGACUUUCUGUGGUUGCCCUCACAUGGGCUGUCUGGAGGUGCACCUCACUCUUCUUGAGGACCAUGGUUCCUUCUCCAUCACUGGUUCAUUCUGUAUGGUGUGACCCACCAUGGCUCUGGAGUCGGAUUUCCACCCAGGUCAUUCAGCUGAGACCUGCGCUU
RNAcentral lists this non-coding RNA (560 nucleotides) under Pongo abelii (Sumatran orangutan). The record is from RNAcentral. Lineage: Eukaryota; Metazoa; Chordata; Mammalia; Primates; Hominidae.